AUUGCAGGCUGCAACUCGCCUGCAUGAAGUCGGAAUUGCUAGUAAUCGUAGGUCAGCAUACUACGGUGAAUACGUUCCCGGGCCUUGUACACACCGCCCGUCAAACCAUGAGAGUUGGCAACACCCGAAGUCGGUAGUCUAACCGCAAGGAGGACGCCGCCGAAGGUGGGUCGAUGAUUAGGGUUAAGUCGUAACAAGGUAAC
This 203-nucleotide ribosomal RNA is filed under the name uncultured bacterium. RNAcentral describes it as "partial 16S ribosomal RNA". It matches the Rfam family "Bacterial small subunit ribosomal RNA", at positions 1297 to 1500 of the family's 1533-position model. The record is from RNAcentral.